GGGAGUAAAAGUCGUAACAAGGUUUCCGUAGGUGAACCUGCGGAAGGAUCAUUAAAGAAUAAGGGUCUCCGGGCCCGAUCUCCAACCCUUUGUUUAAUUACCAUGUUGCUUUGGCGGGCCCGUCUCACGACCGCCGGAAGUUUGGUCUCAACCAGACUUCUGGCCCGUGCCCGUCAGUGGCCCCUUCAAAUUCUUGAUUAAGUAUGAUGUCUUAGUUAUAAACUUAAUAGUUAAAACUUUCAACAACGGAUCUCUUGGUUCUG
This 263-nucleotide unclassified non-coding RNA is filed under the name plant metagenome. Its description in RNAcentral is "partial contains small subunit ribosomal RNA, internal transcribed spacer 1, and 5.8S ribosomal RNA". The stretch from base 1 to 54 matches the Rfam family "Eukaryotic small subunit ribosomal RNA", at positions 1778 to 1831 of the family's 1831-position model. The record is from RNAcentral.